AUCCAACUGACGAGUCCCAAACAGGACGGAACGCAAGUCCUGGAU
This is a non-coding RNA of Schistosoma mansoni, 45 nucleotides long. NCBI's taxonomy places the organism in Eukaryota, Metazoa, Platyhelminthes, Trematoda, Strigeidida, Schistosomatidae. The record is from Rfam.